Molecule: long non-coding RNA, 7947 nt
Organism: Homo sapiens (human)
Lineage: Eukaryota; Metazoa; Chordata; Mammalia; Primates; Hominidae
Gene: COPG2IT1
Product: COPG2 imprinted transcript 1
Source: Ensembl
GUAAAUGGGCACAGUGGGCAUGCCCAGAGUUUGGAUAGGAUGAAGGUUUGGGUGCUGAUACGGGGGCUUCAUUUUUGGAAACUUUUUCCAGAGGGCAGAGAGGAGGAAAGGCAGAACAGGAUGGAUGGCAGGACCUGUGUAAGAAGAAGGUCUUAAAUUCUAAACAAGGGUAUAGUAAAGGUAGUGUGGCCAAGAGGGAAAGAAGAAAUGGUGGAUCCAGAUAGCUUCAAUGGGUACUGCAAGAUCAGGUGUGAUGGGCAGGGGUGCAUGGGCUCACUGGGACCCUAUCCAAGGUAAAUGGAAAUAAUGGAGAUGAAGAAAGGAGGAAGAGGAGGAAGUGGCGGGACUGGCUGUAGAGUUUUGUAGGAACUCACUUCAUGGAACAGAAAGAGAAAAGAGGAAACAAGGCUGGAGUGGAAGAGGGGAAGGAAAAGGCAGCCUAAGGGAAGGCACUGGCCUCAAUCAGUGGAAGAUCUGGAGGAGCAACAGAAAACAGUUCUUGAAGAGAAGGUGGGAUAGAGAGAGGAUGGAAAAGUUUGAGCGGUGAAAGCAGGUCAAAGUAGUGAGCACAUCCCUAUGGAGAAGAGAUGACUGAGUCAGAUGAAGCGACAGGCCCUGGGUGGCUGAGAGAAAUACUGGCCACAGACAGGCAGGUACCUUCCCUUGGCCAAGGAAGCAAAGAGAAGAAAUGUGGAUGCAAGGGGAAAGGCUUCAAGAAAGAAUGUGGAAGUGGGACGAUGAGGCAGCGCCAACAGGGGAGUCACCUACAGAAGACAGACAGGGUGGAGGGGCCCCCAGGGAAGGAUGGAGGGCAGAAAGCAUGGUGGAAGGGAGCUGGGCAGGACAGCCACAGGCAGGACAGCCAUAGUUGGAGCGAGGUGAACGGGGAGGUCCCAGAGUAGGAACAAAGGAAUGUGGAGUGCUCAGGGCAGCCUGCAAGGUUCGGCAGGGGAAGGGAAAGUGUGAAAGGGGUGGACAGCAAUGGGCAGGAAGGAAUGGCUGCUCUUAAAGCCUUGAACUUUGUUGCAGAAGUGUGAAUCUUGGGCCAGGGUCUUUGCUAUGGAUGCAGUGGGGAAGGGUGGGUUGGGUGAAGGGGAUGGGGUUUGGGAUGGGAUUUGGGUUGGGACUGACUGGGUUGGAAAGGAGGGAAGGAUUGGGAGCAGUGGGGUGUGAGUGGGAGAGGAGGUAGGGAACCAGAUGGGGAGAAUCGAGCCAAGUUCUGGGUUGGAGGAAACUUUCUUAUUUAACUGAGCUGGUGGGUUACAUAUCUAAUGUUGCAGGUGAUGAAUACAGGCUGGGGUAGCCGUCUAAAUCCACCGAAAGAAGUAAAUGAAAGUGGUUUCUUGUAGGUCGAAAGGUCAAGGUAAAUGGCUGGUUUUUAGGAAACAACUGAGAACUCGGGAAACAAAGGGGGAAGUUUCUGCAGGCCGAUCUUGUAAGGGAUCUGAAAAAAGGGGUGGGGAUUAAGGAAAACUGACAAUAGUAAGCACCCAUAAGAAACAGGUUGAGGCCGAAGAUACUGACACAGGGCCUAAGAGUCCUAUCAGGUGGGAGGACAAGACGUAUCGGGUGGGGAGGCAUUAAAAGAACAAGUUUCCAAUGCAGACUGGUGUUUGGGGUCAGAGGUGUGUUAAAGGGCAAAUAGGGAAGGAAUGAAGUGGUUCCAAGCAGAGAGUUCCAGGCCUAAUGGGGGUGGGCAGACAAAAGAUGAGAUGUGUUAAGUGGGAAGUUAAAUGGCAAGUACUAGAAUGCCACCUAUGGCAAGCACUAGAAUGGUCUAGGUGUGAAAUGAGGGAGUAAUGUCAGGGAGUCAAGGUGGCCAUCCAUAGCAGUGAUUCUUAUCUGGGGUAGGGGGUGAAUUUCACGUGGAGGGAGGUCUCUGGACAUGGACCCCCAGGCAGGGCUAUCCAAUCAUCUGAGGGGUGAGCAGUGUUCAGCUCAGUAAAAGUAAGGGAAAAAAAAUAGCAGUCUCUAAAAGGAACAUAGACAAUAGCAAAAGAAGAAACCAAGCCCAAAAGAUGCUUCUGAUAGGCCGCCUUGGGGUCCUGCAUUCUCGGGUGAGAAUCACUGGUGGAUGCGGGAGGAUGGAGAGCCGGGCAGACACGUGGAGUGUGAGGGGAAGACGCACGUGCAGUGGGGCUGAUGGAGGCAUCAGGGUCAAGACUGUCAGGUGUGGGAACACAGUUCCCGACAGAUCAGGACAAAGAUGACAGCGAGCAGAUGGAUGUAGCCGAAAAGGCACCGGGUACCCUGGUGGUGGAACUGGGUUUUCCAAUGCCUCGGUCCCAGACUCAAGGUGGAGGAGUGAGGCCUAGAGAAGGGCCUAGUGACACAGAGGAAGUGGGCUGUGCGGGUGAGAGCAGAGAGCAGGGGAUCUGUUGUCACGGGGAGGGAAGGUGCAAAGGGAAAUGGAGACAGUGUGGAAGGAGAGCGUCUUGAAGACACGGGCCUUAAGGAGGGAGGAGGUGGGAGGAGGGUGGGACUGACAGCAGCACCCAGGAGGAGCAGAGGAGCUGAGUCUCAGGCAGGGCAGGAGAGUCAGGUUGAGACUGGGUGUGUAUGGGGUGGGAGAUGAGGACGGGCAGAGAGCGAGACACGAGUGAGUGACAAAGACAAAAUUGCUAUGGUGAUAGGAACAAGGUAGGAGAUUCAGAGGCAGAUGUUCCCCAGAGUGUUUUUACACAGUGUGAAAGAAAGGAUGAGAAAAGAAUCAGGAAGGUUUAGGGGAGUCAGGGUUGUGGGGCCCUGGAAAGGACUCAUAGCCUGGGCCACUGGGACGUGAGCUUGGACAGCAGAGCGUGUGGAUUCAGUGCAGUACGUGUGACACAGAGAGGACUGCAUCUGGUGGAGCAGUGGGUGCGGGGCCAGGUCAAGAAGGGAGGACACACCUGAGAACACGAAUUAGGCCAGUGGCAGAAUCGCAGGUGGUGCUGAGAGAACGCAGCAUGGUGCAGGUGGGACAGUACCGUGCUAUGCAGUAGAGGAGGAAAGCAGGAGAAACGACCAACCUGGGCCCAGGAGCUGGGAGCUGGGAGAGCAGAGGGUGAGUUUGCAGCAUAUGGGAGAGCAGGACAGAGGAGAGGUGUUCCCCAAUGGGCAAGAAGAAUGAGUUGGAGCAGGUUAUGGAGGCCAGCAGCUUACGGAGGUGAGCUUGUUGAGAGGAUCAGGGAAUGUACUGCAGCAAGGGAGGCAUGCCAAGAGCAAGAGUGUGGGUGUGAACGUAGAGAAUCCUCCUUUUUGCCCCAAAGGGGUGAAGUGUUUGAUGCAGGUCAUGGAGGAGAAAGCAUGGUGUGGGUAAGACACGGAAGGAAUGAAGGAGAGGUGAGAUGAGGCCACAGAAACAGGGUGUAGAGGUGUUGGCACCUUGGAAACAUUGAGGACCGUGUGUCAAUAAAGGGCAUGGCGAGACGAUGGAAGGCCAGAGGACACAACAGAGAGAGGAAACCACUGUUCCUUAGAGGCAGAACUGAGAAUACAGGACGGUUAGGGGUGAACUGAGACAGCAGAUGGACUCAGUACAGCAGGUUGAGGACAUGGAAGCUGGCAGUGGUGUCAUCAGUGGGGGGCAGGGCAGGAAGGGGUCAGAGUUCAGGACAGAUUCCUGAGUCUGUGGAUUGACUUGGAGGUGGCAGGGCAUGCAGGACUGGAUGUUGAAGAUGAAAAGGAGUUUCUGGAAGAUGACAGUGGGAGGCAACACUGUGUGUAGACUGUGCAAAUUUACACUGGCAUACCACAUGGAAUGAGAGAGUCUGGCAGCCAUUCUAAGGCAGUUAUUGGGAUGUAAAUUUGAUGACGGAAGUUUAUGGUAAAAGAAGGGACAGGAGGCAGGUAGGAGGGGAGAUAACCUUAUGAAUUUGUGCAGGGCUUAGCAUCAGUAAAAGGGCUGACAUGGAAUAGGGGAAGGUGGAAUGCAGAGUUCCCAAAGUGGGGGCACUGGCAAAUCUCAGGGGCAAGUCAGUGGUAUGUUCGGUAUCAUGGCUGAGUGUAGGAGCAUUUUAGGGAAUAGAAGUUAAAUCCUAGACGACAAGCGAGUGGGGUAACAACACUUUACCUGUCAUGGUAACUACUUCAUUGAAUAGGAAAACAGAAAAAGAAGAAACCUUAUAGAGGGUGAUGGUAAAGCAACCCCAACUGAUAUGGAAGGCAGUGUUGGCAAUCACUGAAGGUCAGGAUUUUGAAAGCAAACAAUUAACAAUGUAAAAUUUGCAAGUGUGGGGGUUGGACAUAGGUUACUAUGUGUUUAAUGUGGUCUCCAACAAAAUUAGCAGAGCCAAAAUGAGAAGGAAGUAUUACUCUGUUUAACAAGAUUGAAAUUAAGGGGACAGUAUACAGUUUAAACCACUUUGGGAUUUAGGAAUGUCAGAGUUGGUAGGGUGGGUAUUGUUGCCCCUUGAUCCACAGUAUGGAAUAAUGGCAAAGAGGAAAACUAUAUAGAAAGAACUUGUCAUUAGGGAAUUUGGUGGCUUCCUUAAAGCUCCUUGAGGGAAACACUUGAUGAAUGCUUAGAGUCAGGAGAAUAAACGGUCCCAUAUAGAGAUAGGUUUAUGAAGCGGAGUCUGAAGGAUGAGCUUCAUCAGCAAUCCUCAGAAUGUCAGUUCUACUAGCUAAGGAUGCAGGUAAGUAUGUUGGACACCAAGAGAACAGGAAGGAAGUGUUUUGAACACUGGAGGUGGGUCAUGAGGAAGCUUAUACAUAUUCACAUUGUGAAUCAAUUUCAAGGACAGAUGAACAAAGACUGGGCGUUACCAAUAGAGCAGGGUUUUGUUUUGUUUUUCCCCUAAGGCAAAAGGCAGAAAUGAGUGGGUACACCAUGAUUAAGUUGCAUUCUGUAGAGAUAGGAUCAUUUAAGUCAAGUCAGCAACAAAAAUUAGAGACAUUGAAGAUGAUGGGGUAGAAAAGGGGUAUCAAAUAGGUUAGAAAGAUGGCUUGAAAGGAAAUGAGGGAAAUUUCAGUGAGUUUGAGGAAUGGCAGACUGGGUAUGUGACAAAUGAGUGGGUAAAUAAGGAAAUCUCAGACUGAGAAUCCUGGCAGAUCUUUCAAUGGGUUAGACUGCAGGAAUAUUGAUUUUAAAGCCAGACUGAAGCAAAUUCUAGUGAUAAAGGAAGGGGAAAGGGUGGCUGAAUCAAAUGUUCUACCAAUACUGCUUUUUUUAGUAUUUGAGUUAAAAUUCAGAUUAAAUGCUUGGCUUAGAAGAAUGCAAAGCUUCACUGAGCCUAAUAAUAUGGAUCCCAGUGGGUGAGUGGAGGUGAGUUAAAGUAAAAAACUCUGAGGCAAAUCUUACUUAACUGAAGUUGUGUUUUUAGUACAGAAUGCCAAGUUAAUAUGGUUAAUACUGAACAAAAAAUAAUGGAAGGGCAACUACAGUAGCUUAAGAUGGCACUUUAAGGAAGUGUAGGCAGAAAGUCAAGAAAUUAAAAUAAUUAUGAAUCAUUAUAUGGCAGGCAAUAUUUCCAAUGAAAAUCAGAGAAAAUAAACUCACAUACAUGUACUGUUACAGCUGAUCUUAGUAUGAAUAUUUUCUAUUAAAGACUGUUUUAAAAUAAGUUAUUAAUAUUUGUUGAAAUGGUUCCAGAUAACAAGAAAUAUGAUGCAAUAAAACCUGAUAAAUAAAAGCAAUAUAAAGAUUAGAAUGGUUUUGAAUAGGUAGUGGAAUAAAAAGUUAAGUUGGUAGUUGCAUUAAAAAGGUCAAACAUGGGGAAUAAUUGGUAGAAUGUUGUGUAUAUAAUAUAUAUUGUUACGGGUGCAAUAAAUAUUCAGGGGAAACAGAGCUGCUGAAAGAGAAUGAAUGCUUAGAAGGAAUGUUGCCUUAAAGGCUUUUCUAAAACUUUUUAGGUAAAGGACAAAUUCUGGGAGGACGAAAGAUAAUAAGUAGGACUAGUUACAUAGAGACUUAGGAUGUCCAUAGUCUUUCAAGAAAUUGCCCAACCUUUGCGAGAAGGUGUUAUGGUAAUAUAUUGAUGUUGGGUUAAAGCAAAUUUUUUCAGAUAGGGUAGAUUUUUAUACAUUUAUAAAGUAAAGGGGAGUAGGAAAGAUUAAAGAUAGAUCAAAGAAAGGAAUAAUUGAUGGAACAACUUUCUGGAAGAGAUUAGAGGGUAUGUGUCUUUUGAACUCUGGAAGACUUGAUUUUAGAGAGGAUAAAGGAAGAAAGUGGAUAAUUCUAGAAUUAAACACCAAAAGGUUCUAUGUGUCUGGCACCAUGUGAAGCAACUUACCUAUUAUUUCAUUUCAUUUCAUUUCAUUUCAUUUCAUUUCAUCCUAUAACAGUCCUAAGAGAUCAAAUAAUUUGUCCACGAUUACACAGUCAGUAUGUAGCAGGGCCAGCAUUCAAAUCCUCAUCUGUCUAUCAAACCCAUAUUCCCUUCUAUUAUGCUAUACUGUUUUCAAGUUGAAGGAAAUCAAACCAAGAAUUUCUGUUUUUUCACUGCGAUUAUAAGGAAAAAUAUUAUUUUUCUGAAAUGAGACAUAUUGAUGUUUAAGACCUUGAGGUGACAGGUAAAAUUUGGAAUAUCUGUGAUGGGAAAAUGCAAAAAGGAAGGAAUGGGUGAAAGAUACCUAUUACCAUCUAUGCCCUGGUAUUUCACUUCUUCCAUUGCACAGCAUAGACUUUAGAUUGGCCAUGGAUUAAAAAUUUGAGAAUUCUGACAAAAAACUAAAUAGAAAGGAGUUUGUUUUUUAAGUAGGUAUAUGAUGGGUCAAAUAUAAACUUACUACUAACAAAACUUUAAACAAUUCCCUAAAUGCCAAACUUUUAUAAACAAAAAUCAAACAAACCAUCAAGCAAAAGAGUCCAUAGCCAGCAGACCAAAUGUUGAAAUCUCUGGGCUAAUUUGUAAGAUCUAUGUUUUAAAACUCCUUAGUGAAGAGGGGCAAGAAAACCUCUCCUCUUUUUCCUCUCUUGGUGGAAAUGUUUUGUUGUUGUUGUUGGUUUUUUCCUAUACUAUAUGUAAUUUCUAUAUUGUUGUUUUGUGUAUUUUGGUAUUAUAAAAUUAUACUUCUUAGAUUCCGUUAAGAAUACUUUCUGGGGUGUGAGCCACCUGAGUUAUUAGUUAGCAAAAUGAACCUGGGGAAGUGGGAAGAGCUAGUAUUCUCAAUUGGCAAGGGAUUGAUUCUUCAAUGGGUUCAGCAUUUCACUUCCCUCUGAAAUUAAGUGGCAAAGUAAUAGCAUCCCUUAAAAAACAGGACAUUGGUGAGAGGUAGAAUAGCAGGAGGAAUUUUGAAACAUGGAGGGAUGGCUACUGGAAAAGAACUGAUGAAGUGCAGAGUCUCUCCAGACAAUGGUAGAAACCACAGGACUACAUUAAGAUUGGGCCCAAAUACUAGUUUAGAAAAAGGUAAAUAAAACUAGCUUUACUUAAGAGUACAGCCAGCUUAAUUACUGGCUAGUGGACAUAUUUCAGACAAAUCUAACUGGAGAGAAAAACAGACCAGGAGAGAAAGCGAAGUUACAAGGAAAUGGAACUAGAGAAACCUCACAAAGGGAUAAAGGAGGUAAUUAAAGGUUAAAGCCAGAUAGCCUCGAGCUCAAAGGAGAAAUAUUGGAGGCCAGAUAGGAAAGUGCCUUCCUACUCAGGGGGUUAUGGAUCCAGGGUGGCUAAAGAAUAGAAGUAGAGUUCCACCCAGGGCCAGAGGGAACAAUCUGGGAUUCAGACACAGCAGUGGUGCCAACGUGAAUCUACCUCGUGCUAGAGUCUGAGUAGCCUAGUCUAUCACCCAACACAGAUAAGACUGGACAGGGGCUCCCAGGAACCAACAUCUAAGAAGGGAGUUUGGAGAGGGGCUAAAAGAAAGCAGGUUAAGCCCCAAAUGUAACUGAAUGAUGACCAGGGAUAACUAUUUACUAGUGCUUUUAUGAUUUAUUGUAACUCUGUAACUUUCCCAGUAUUUGUUAAUUUUUUAACUUCUGUUUCUCCUGUACUUACGAGCAGUAAAAGUUGUUCAAAACAUAAA